CAGGAUGAUCGUCUGAUAGCAGAUCCAUCAGAUCCUCAGAAACUGAUUGCUCCUGUGGUUUCUGUCUCUUCUGAUCGUCUCGUCACGUCUCACUGUGUGAAUCAACUCCGUCACGAGAUCCGCUGCGAUGCUUCUGGAGUAAAUGUUUUUCUCUAUUCUCAUAUUUAAUCUUUCAUCAACACUAUUAAUGAUGCUCUUUCAUUCAUCUCAGUUCAGACUGGACACCAUCUUCAGAGGUGAGAGAAACACUUCAGUAAACUCUGUGUUGAACUGAAUCUAGUGUGAAUCUUCAAGUGAAUCAUGAUGAUUGUGAAUCUGUUUUUCAGUGAGGAAUGAAACUGCAGUGACUCCAAACUCAGGUGAGUUUCAGCUGAUAAACGUCUGAUUAUUCACAGAUCUGAUUCACACUCACUCUUUUCUCUCAUAUUGACUCAUAUUUAUCAUCACUGUGUGUUUGUAAAGAUGAUCUGAAUGAAGUGACUCUCCAUCGUUCAGGUAAACUCCUGUGCUUCUGUGUUUCAGUAUUGAUCAUUUUUAUUGAUCAGAUGUGUAUGUAUUCAGUCGUUCAGCUGAAUGUGUUGUCUCUCUUGUGUUCAGAUCAGUGGUGGUGGAUUUCUGUCCUUAUUCUCAUUGUUCUUCUGGUUUUGAUCUGUUUCUUGCUGCGGAGAAGGAUCUUCAGGUGUUUUCAAAGGGAAGCACAGGUUAUCCGUCAGCGUGAACCUCCUGACAACAGGGAUCUGGUGAUGAUCUGAUCAUCCAGGAAUCAGUUCAGUGAAUCGGUUCAGUGUCCAGGGGAUGAGCACCAUCUGAUUUUCUUUUUUUCUUUUUUUUUUGACAUGCAAAGGUGAUAAUCCCACCAGUCAACAUAAUGACCAUGUUUUAGAGCAUUUUUCU
Molecule: long non-coding RNA, 894 nt
Filed under: Carassius auratus (goldfish)
Lineage: Eukaryota; Metazoa; Chordata; Actinopteri; Cypriniformes; Cyprinidae
Description: lncRNA (ENSCARG00000001826.1)
Source: RNAcentral